This 303-nucleotide ribosomal RNA is filed under the name uncultured bacterium. Its description in RNAcentral is "partial 16S ribosomal RNA". It matches the Rfam family "Bacterial small subunit ribosomal RNA", at positions 507 to 807 of the family's 1533-position model. The record is from RNAcentral.
AGCAGUAGCCACGGGAAUACGGAGGGAGCUAGCGUUGUUCGGAAUUACUGGGCGUAAAGCGCACGUAGGCGGUUAUUCAAGUCAGAGGUGAAAGCCCGGGGCUCAACCCCGGAACUGCCUUUGAAACUAGAAGACUAGAAUCUUGGAGAGGUCAGUGGAAUUCCGAGUGUAGAGGUGAAAUUCGUAGAUAUUCGGAAGAACACCAGUGGCGAAGGCGACUGACUGGACAAGUAUUGACGCUGAGGUGCGAAAGCGUGGGGAGCAAACAGGAUUAGAUACCCCUGUAGUCCCUGUCUCUUAUAC